Alligator sinensis (Chinese alligator) is the source of this 688-nucleotide long non-coding RNA. RefSeq lists it as uncharacterized. The transcript has 4 exons. Lineage: Eukaryota; Metazoa; Chordata; Crocodylia; Alligatoridae. The record is from RefSeq and is a predicted model, not a curated record.
CAUAGGGUCACUGUAAACAUGGGAACAAGUAGUGCUAUGGGCCUCGGUCUACUCAAGCUUUCACAAAAAGAGGAACCAAUUUCCAACAACACCAGAAAGAGCUGCAGGUGCCUGUACAUGGAUGCAUCUCAAGAAAGGUUGGAACAGUUUCUUUGAGAUAAGAGAUAGAUUCUUCUCUCCACUCUGAACAGUUAGACCCAAGCCUAGAGGGAGAGACAGAUAAUGAACAGACUGAUGCCUAGAAGGGGCAGGAAAGGAAUCAUUGUGUGGGGUGACUACCAGGUGCAUAGUCCUUUAGAACUGCUUAUAUUCCCUCUGAAGCUGAUGGCAACACUCCCAUGAUUUCAACUGUAGCAGGCCCACAGUUUUUGCCAGACCAUUCCAGUCCCAUGCAAUGGAAUCCUUGCAUUUACUGCAGCCUGACUGAAGAUUAUACAAACAUAUUGGCCAUGUUUGGGACUCUCAGCUCACUUACAAUAGUUUUCACCAGUGCAGCUCUGUGGAAUUUAGCAGUCCCUGGUACUUUUGAGAACCGUGUAAAGUAGAGGUAAUGAAGAUUAGAUAACUUAUUUUAAUCCAGGCUGUUCUUGUCUGAACUAAGGAAAAAUUCCUAUUCAGCACCAUAAUAUGUUAAACCUUUUAGAUAACAAGAGGCAUUUUACUAGUAUAAGCAAAUUCUCUUACAAGG